GUAGAAGGAGGUAUAGGGAGGUAGAGGGGGUAGGGGGAGGUAGAGGAGGUAUAGGGAGGCAGUGGGAGUUAGGGGGAGGUAGAGGACGGUAGAGGAGGUAGAGGGAGGCAGUGGGAGUUAGGGGGAGGUAGAGGAAGGUAGAGGGAGGUAGAGAGAGGCAGUGGGAGGUAGGGGAGGUAGAGGGAGGUAGAGGUAGGUAGGGGGAGGUAGAAGGAGGUAUAGGGAGGUAGAGGGAGGGUAGGGGGAGGUAGAGGAAGGUAGAGGGAGGUAGAGGGAGGCAGUGGGAGUUAAGGGGAGGUAGAGGGAGGCAGUGGAAGGUAGAGGGAGGCAGUGGGAGUUAGGGGGAGGUAGAGGAAGGUAGAGGGAGGUAGAGGGAGGCAGUGGGAGUUAGGGGAGGUAGAGGAAGGUAGAGGGAGGUAGAGGGAGGCAGUGGGAGUUAGGGGAGGUAGAGGAAGGUAGAGGGAGGUAGAGGGAGGCAGUGGGAUGUAGAGGGAGGCAGUGGGAGUUAGGGGGAGGUAGAGGGAGGUAGGGGGAGGUAGAGGAAGGGUAGAGGGAGGUAGUGGGAGGUAGGGGGAGGUAGAGGGAGGUAGGGGGAGGUAGAGGGAGGUAGGGGGAG
Oncorhynchus tshawytscha (Chinook salmon) is the source of this 616-nucleotide long non-coding RNA. The record is from Ensembl. NCBI's taxonomy places the organism in Eukaryota, Metazoa, Chordata, Actinopteri, Salmoniformes, Salmonidae.